RNAcentral lists this ribosomal RNA (253 nucleotides) under uncultured bacterium. Its description in RNAcentral is "partial 16S ribosomal RNA". It matches the Rfam family "Archaeal small subunit ribosomal RNA", at positions 474 to 727 of the family's 1478-position model. The record is from RNAcentral.
UACCCGCAGCUCAAGUGGUGGUCAUUAUUAUUGAGCCUAAAGCGUCCGUAGCUGGUUUUUUAAAUGCCUGGGUAAAUCGAUGCGCUUAACGUAUCGAAUUCCGGGUAGACUGGCAAACUCGAGACCGGGAGAGGUGUAGGCUACUCGAGGGGUAGGGGUAAAAUCCUGUAAUCCUUCGGGGAGGACCAGUGGCGAAGGCGCUACACUAGAACGGCUCUGACAGUGAGGGACGAAGCCCUGGGGCGCAAACCGG